This is a long non-coding RNA of Cygnus olor (mute swan), 1798 nucleotides long. RefSeq lists it as uncharacterized. The transcript has 4 exons. The record is from RefSeq and is a predicted model, not a curated record. Lineage: Eukaryota; Metazoa; Chordata; Aves; Anseriformes; Anatidae.
UGAAAAGGAAUAAGAAAAUAAUAUAUAUCUUUUUUUUCAGGUUGAUUACUGAUGUUCUUUUCCAAGUUCAUCAGUUUCUAAGUGACACGUGGCUGUGUUUUAAGCAUUGAGAAAAAGGCACUAUUCAGGCCUCCCUGUAAGGCAUAAUAUGAAACUGGAUGAAAGAAGUAUUUUAUGGCUGGAUUAGCCCUACCUGUUUGGUAGCCAACCCAAGGACUUGCUCAAUGAGUCAUGGAACUGUGCUCUGCUAUUUCUGUUGAAUUCAUCGUAUUCAUCUGGCCCUGUCCUUCGCUCUCCUAAAGCAGAGCUCUGCGCUUCCUGAGCUCUGGCGUUUUGAAGACCAUAUGGUUACCAUUUAAACAACUUCAGAACACAUCUGAUUAAUGUUUCUGCUAAGAGCAGGAGUUGAUAAGUUCAGUGUUGCUUGGUGGAAUGACAUUUAUUUACACUAAGGCAUGCAAAAUUAUUUCACUGGGUGAGGCGAGCCUGCUUCUUUGCUUAUGGAGCUUAGAACAUUAUCUGCCGUUGUACCAUCUAGUUUUCCUCCCAGAAAAAGGGUGGGGAAAAUGAAGCUGGAGGAUUACACUGAGAGCUGAAGGACAGCAAUUGCUAUGGUUGGUUUGCAGAAAUAUAGGAACUCAAUAAUUGUCAACAGAAUUAAUUAUUCAGCUGCUUUAGUCUGAGAAAACAUGCAAAUCCUCCAUGGAUUCCACACUGUUUUCAUUCAACAGAUCUUCUUGCCUUUGAUCAUAUGCUUUGGCUAGCUCUUCUUACUGCUUUACUGUACCUGUUAUCUGACUUUAGGGCCCCUGAAAUCCACUGGAUUGCUAGCUCUCCGUCAAGUUACGGCUUUUUAGCCCAGAUCCCAAAUGGAAGAAGAUAGGUGAGGUCCUCCAUUUCCUGGUCACUCCUCAAGACAGAACGGCAGCAGAUAGGCAGAUAGGCGGUGGCUUCUCCUGGACUGCACUGCAGGCGGGCUGCACCUGUGGCUUUAUGUGGUGAUACUGCUCUUCCUUCUCCUACUGCUAGGUGAUUUUUUAUUUUUUUUCAUCAUAACAAAAACAUAGUUAGCAAAGACUAUACAUUCACCAAACAUUCAUCACGGACCUUCCAAUCUCAGUGUAAGACAGAAGACAGCAGAUGGAUACGGAGGACAGAUGGGGAUGUGGUUAUUAACACAAUGAUCGAGAGUGGUUGGCUGUAGGAUGGCUUCCCUUUCUGUUCACAAAGUGGACAGGUUUUCUCUAGCAGCUGGGGCUAGCUAGUGGGAAUGAGUACAGGCAGAGGAGGGCAGAUGUCUUCACAUUGGUGAGCAGGGAAAUAGGGCAUAAACUCCCCUCAAGUGAUAGCUCUUUUGCAUCUGGGAUGGGUUUAGAUUGAUUUUUCCCUUGCAGACAGUGGUUUUCAGAAGUACCAGCUUCAAAAGGCAUUGGAUGUAUAUGGAAGCAUAAGGGGCUUAAAUGGAUUGUAAAUGGGCCCAGGCCAUGGCAGAAGGGUAGAAAGGUGCACUGAGACAGAAAAGGCAAUACCUACUAAUACUUACUACCAAUAUGACCGUAUUUCUGUAAUUUUUUAUAACUGGCAUCCCUGGGCAAGGGUAUAAGUAUAGCAACCUGACUAUGCAAUAAAAUCAUCAUCAUCUCAGAAUCAGGUAACUGUUUAUUUUGUAUCUAUCUGCUUCUUCUGUCAGUACUGUUGCUUUGAUGCUCAUGCAGUAUGAAUGUAAAAUGAAUUGUAUUACUGGACACUAAUUUACAGUACAAUAAAUAGCAGGUUAAGAGGCCAACAUGGCCCUGAG